GAGAUCGUGGAGAGAAUAAGCAGAUGCAGGAAUGUGUUGAAUGCCACAUGACAGCCUCCAGUUAGAUCCUUCCAUAAGUAAGACUCAAAUGAAAGCCAGGUGUCAAAGCUAUGGAGCCCAUGUGGAUCAUAGGAGUCAACUACUAGGACACAGUUCAGAACAGAAAACGGGUCAGAGGACCACUCUUCCUCAGGAAGCUCAAGACAUUCUCAAGAGUGG
This 219-nucleotide long non-coding RNA is filed under the name Mus spicilegus (steppe mouse). RNAcentral's name for it is "lncRNA (ENSMSIG00000031113.1)". Lineage: Eukaryota; Metazoa; Chordata; Mammalia; Rodentia; Muridae. The record is from RNAcentral.